RNAcentral lists this ribosomal RNA (513 nucleotides) under uncultured bacterium. Its description in RNAcentral is "partial 16S ribosomal RNA". It matches the Rfam family "Bacterial small subunit ribosomal RNA", at positions 28 to 523 of the family's 1533-position model. The record is from RNAcentral.
GACGAACGCUGGCGGCAUGCCUAAUACAUGCAAGUCGAGCGAACAGAUGAAGUGCUUGCACUUCUGACGUUAGCGGCGAACGGGUGAGUAACACGUAAGGAAUCUACCUAUAAGCGGGGGAUAACAUUCGGAAACGGGUGCUAAUACCGCAUAAUAUCUUCUUCCGCAUGGAAGAAGAUUGAAAGACGGCUCUGCUGUCACUUAUAGAUGACCUUGCGGUGCAUUAGUUAGUUGGUGGGGUAACGGCCUACCGAGACGAUGAUGCAUAGCCGACCAGAGAGGGUGAUCGGCCAAAUUGGGUCGGAGACACGGCCCAAACUCCUACGGGAGUCAGCAGGAGGGAAGCUUCCGCAAUGGGCGAAAGCCUGACGGAGCAAUGCCGCGUGAGUGAAGAAGGCCUUCGGGUCGUAAAACUCUGUUAUAAGAGAAGAACAAAUUGUAGAGUAACUGCUACAGUCUUGACGGUAUCUUAUCAGAAAGCCACGGCUAACUACGUGCCAGCCGCCGCCGUAA